CCCAGCUGUAGGCAGUGGCCCAGGUUGCAUGGUACCUAGGCAACUGUUCAUUGCUGGGAAAAAGCAGCUAAUAGUUGGCAGGCAUGCUGGGCCUAGUUAAUGCCAAAUUU
Molecule: small nucleolar RNA, 110 nt
Organism: Ochotona princeps (American pika)
Lineage: Eukaryota; Metazoa; Chordata; Mammalia; Lagomorpha; Ochotonidae
Gene: SNORA74
Rfam family: Small nucleolar RNA SNORA74
About the family: U19 belongs to the H/ACA class of snoRNAs. snoRNAs bind a number of proteins (including dyskerin, Gar1p and Nop10p in the case of the H/ACA class) to form snoRNP complexes. This class are thought to guide the sites of modification of uridines to pseudouridines by forming direct base pairing interactions with substrate RNAs.
Source: Ensembl